Molecule: ribosomal RNA, 457 nt
Filed under: uncultured bacterium
Lineage: Bacteria
Description: SSU rRNA
Rfam family: Bacterial small subunit ribosomal RNA
Source: RNAcentral
AGAGCGAACGCUGGCGGCAUGCCUAACACAUGCAAGUCGAACGCUUUUGGGGCUUCGGUCCCAAAGGAGUGGCGCACGGGUGAGUAGCGCGUGGGAACCUGCCCUGGAGUGGGGGAUAACCGAGGGAAACUUCGGCUAAUACCGCAUACGCCGGGAAACCGGGAAAGAUUUAUCGCUCUAGGAGGGGCCCGCGUCGGAUUAGGUAGUUGGUGGGGUAACGGCCUACCAAGCCUGUGAUCCGUAGCUGGUCUGAGAGGAUGAUCAGCCACACUGGGACUGAGACACGGCCCAGACUCCUACGGGAGGCAGCAGUGGGGAAUAUUGGACAAUGGGCGCAAGCCUGAUCCAGCAAUGCCGCGUGAGUGAUGAAGGCCUUCGGGUUGUAAAGCUCUUUCGCACGCGAGGAUGAUGACGCUAGCGUGAGAAGAAGCCCGGCUAACUUCGUGCCAGCAGCCGC